This 497-nucleotide ribosomal RNA is filed under the name uncultured bacterium. RNAcentral describes it as "partial 16S ribosomal RNA". It matches the Rfam family "Bacterial small subunit ribosomal RNA", at positions 28 to 507 of the family's 1533-position model. The record is from RNAcentral.
GACGAACGCUGGCGGCGUGCCUAAUACAUGCAAGUUGAGCGCUGAAGGUUGGUCCUUGUACCAACUGGAUGAGCAGCGAACGGGUGAGUAACGCGUGGGGAAUCUGCCUUUGAGCGGGGGACAACAUUUGGAAACGAAUGCUAAUACCGCAUAAAAACUUUAAACACAAGUUUUAAGUUUGAAAGAUGCAAUUGCAUCACUCAAAGAUGAUCCCGCGUUGUAUUAGCUAGUUGGUGAGGUAAAGGCUCACCAAGGCGAUGAUACAUAGCCGACCUGAGAGGGUGAUCGGCCACAUUGGGACUGAGACGCGGCCCAAACUCCUACGGGAGGCAGCAGUAGGGAAUCUUCGGCAAUGGACGAAAGUCUGACCGAGCAACGCCGCGUGAGUGAAGAAGGUUUUCGGAUCGUAAAACUCUGUUGGUAGAGAAGAACGUUGGUGAGAGUGGAAAGCUCAUCAAGUGACGGUAACUACCCAGAAAGGGACGGCUAACUACGUG